GAUGAACGCUGGCGGCGUGCCUAAUACAUGCAAGUCGAGCGAACAGACGAGGAGCUUGCUCCUCUGACGUUAGCGGCGGACGGGUGAGUAACACGUGGAUAACCUACCUAUAAGACUGGGAUAACUUCGGGAAACCGGAGCUAAUACCGGAUAAUAUAUUGAACCGCAUGGUUCAAUAGUGAAAGACGGUUUUGCUGUCAAUUAUAGAUGGAUCCGCGCCGCAUUAGCUAGUUGGUAAGGUAACGGCUUACCAAGGCGACGAUGCGUAGCCGACCUGAGGGGGUGAUCGGCCACACUGGAACUGAGACACGGUCCAGACUCCUACGGGAGGCAGCAGUAGGGAAUCUUCCGCAAUGGGCGAAAGCCUGACGGAGCAACGCCGCGUGAGUGAUGAAGGUCUUCGGAUCGUAAAACUCUGUUAUUAGGGAAGAACAAAUGUGUAAGUAACUAUGCACGUCUUGACGGUACCUAAUCAGAAAGCCACGGCUAACUACGUG
This 497-nucleotide ribosomal RNA is filed under the name uncultured bacterium. RNAcentral's name for it is "partial 16S ribosomal RNA". It matches the Rfam family "Bacterial small subunit ribosomal RNA", at positions 28 to 507 of the family's 1533-position model. The record is from RNAcentral.